GACGAACGCUGGCGGCGUGCUUAACACAUGCAAGUCGAACGGAAAGGCCCUGCUUUUGUGGGGUGCUCGAGUGGCGAACGGGCGAGUAACACGUGAGUAACCUGCCCUUGACUUUGGGAUAACUUCAGGAAACUGGGGCUAAUACCGGAUAGGAGCUCCUGCUGCAUGGUGGGGGUUGGAAAGUUUCGGCGGUUGGGGAUGGACUCGCGGCUUAUCAGCUUGUUGGUGGGGUAGUGGCUUACCAAGGCUUUGACGGGUAGCCGGCCUGAGAGGGUGACCGGCCACAUUGGGACUGAGAUACGGCCCAGACUCCUGCGGGAGGCAGCAGUGGGGAAUACUGCACAAUGGGCGGAAGCCUGAUGCAGCAACGCCGCGUGCGGGGUGACGGCCUUCGGGUUGUAAACCGCUUUCGCCUGUGACGAAGCGUGAGUGACGGUAAUGGGUAAAGAAGCACCGGCUAACUACGUG
This 468-nucleotide ribosomal RNA is filed under the name uncultured bacterium. Its description in RNAcentral is "partial 16S ribosomal RNA". It matches the Rfam family "Bacterial small subunit ribosomal RNA", at positions 28 to 507 of the family's 1533-position model. The record is from RNAcentral.